Molecule: ribosomal RNA, 423 nt
Filed under: uncultured bacterium
Lineage: Bacteria
Description: partial 16S ribosomal RNA
Rfam family: Bacterial small subunit ribosomal RNA
Source: RNAcentral
AAUAGUUGACAGUAGGGGCAACCCUGAUUCAGCCAUGCGGCGUGUGUGAAGAAGGUCUUCGGGUUGUAAGGAGCUGUAAGUGAGGAGGAAGGGCUUUAGGCUAAUACACUAAAGUUAUGCCGUUACCAACAGAAUAAGCACCGGCUAAGUCUCUGCCAGCAGCCGCGGUAAUACAGAGUGUGCAAGCGUUAAUCGGAAUUACUGGGCGUAAAGCGCGCGGAGGUGGUUCAGUAAGAUGGGUGUGAAAGCCACGGGCUUAACCUAGGAACUGCUUUCAUAACUGCUGAGCUAGAGUACGGUAGAGGGUAGUGGAAUUUCCUGUGUAGCGGUGAAAUGCGUAGAUAUAGGAGGGAACACCAGUGGCGAAGGCGACUACCUGGACUGAUACUGACACUGAGGUGCGAAAGCAUGGGGAGCGAACAG